This 1277-nucleotide long non-coding RNA is filed under the name Sus scrofa (pig). RNAcentral describes it as "lncRNA (ENSSSCG00070024178.1)". The record is from RNAcentral. Lineage: Eukaryota; Metazoa; Chordata; Mammalia; Artiodactyla; Suidae.
AGGGAAGGAGAAGUUUGUGAAAGCUAAUUAAAUACUUUAAUAAAAGCCAAUGUAUUCAUCCAACAUUUGGAAAGAGAGGCACAUUAGGGGCAACUUGUUUUUACCCAAAUGUUUUCUUUCUGUGGAGGUAGCACUCCUUUGUGAUGCCGGAGAGAGAGAUGGCUUAUGCAGCUACAAAAAGCGCUAGGGAUGGCAAGGCAGGUUCACGGGAAGCCUUUGGAAGCCUUUCAGCCUGAUGGAGCUUUCAAACCAGCAGAUCUUUCGAGCUGCUGCCGAGAUCAACAAUUACCCAAUUUGGAAAGGGGGUUGGGGUGCAGUGCUGAUGGCUGAAUGGGAUCCACAGGAAAGUCGGGAUAGAAAUUCGGGGUUUGAGACCCUGCGGGUGUACUGAUACUGUUUCAAUGUCAGGAAAAACACAAAACCCGGUUCCACGCGGUGCUUUAGUGGCUAAAAGUGAAAGAGCUGCCUUGGCAGAAUUCAGCUCUAUGAAUCACUUCGGAAAAUUGGUUCGACUGAAUGGCCUUAGGAGGAAAAACGUUUUAAUAGGAUCCAGGGGAGGUUCUGCUGUUUCAAUCUGCGCCUUAAACAGGUGGAGAUUGGACCUUCUCAAUUAUACAAACAGGGAGCGCGGGCGCCAGUUGCCUCCUUUUAAAGUUUGAGGGGCGGUGGCGGCGGCGGCCGGCAGGCGCGGUGGAACACAGGGGCCGCUACAGGAGCCGCGCCGCCGCCCAUGUCAUUCCACUUCAAGUGACUUCAUGUGAUGUCAGCUGAAUGUAAAAGACAGUGAUCUCACGCGGAGGGGAAGAUGUUUGCCAUCAAAAUGUGACAGAGGAGACACGCUGCAUGGCUCGGAACGCAUCUCCUUGGCGGUGGGGGAAAGAGGUAAAUGCGAGGUGGCUCUCCUGGUCCUCUUUAACUUUGCCCCUUCACUGUCCAGCUCCCAGCACGAGUGGCGGAGGCCAGGGUCCAGGGAGCGGCUCAGGGGGGUUAAUUUGAGGCUCUUUCUUUCUUUUUUUUCUCUCUCUUUUUCCUCUGUAACCCCCCCCCCGCUUUUUCCCUUUCAAAGUCCCAGGGCAGGGGCUGGUGGGUUCCUUUGCGGGCCGGGUUAAUGGGCGGUAAUUUGGUACCCUUGGGUGCACUUUGUUCUGCCCCUGUUCAUUCGAAUGCAAAUGGGUGACCUGGACCCGACAAGGUGCUUAUUAAAUUGCGGUUUCCCUCCCUGCCUUUUCUGGGAAUGCAGACUUAGAGGAGAGAGGCUGCCCCUGGCCCAGUCCGGC